UCCGAUAUGGUCUAGUGGCUAGGAUUUCUCGCUCUCAAACCGUUUCUCCCCAAAGAAACAACUAGGUCCGAGGAGGCCGGGGUUCAAUUCCCCGUGUCGGAA
Molecule: transfer RNA, 102 nt
Organism: Aureobasidium pullulans
Lineage: Eukaryota; Fungi; Ascomycota; Dothideomycetes; Dothideales; Saccotheciaceae
Rfam family: tRNA
About the family: Transfer RNA (tRNA) molecules are approximately 80 nucleotides in length. Their secondary structure includes four short double-helical elements and three loops (D, anti-codon, and T loops).
Source: Rfam